AAUAAUAAGGUGUUAAGGCAUUCUAUUUUUUGGUGAUAGGGGUGAAUAGUAUUCUAUUAUUA
RNAcentral lists this transfer RNA (62 nucleotides) under Neomazocraes dorosomatis. Its description in RNAcentral is "tRNA-Gln". Lineage: Eukaryota; Metazoa; Platyhelminthes; Monogenea; Mazocraeidea; Mazocraeidae. The record is from RNAcentral.